Molecule: unclassified non-coding RNA, 1937 nt
Filed under: Hevea brasiliensis (rubber tree)
Lineage: Eukaryota; Viridiplantae; Streptophyta; Magnoliopsida; Malpighiales; Euphorbiaceae
Source: RNAcentral
AUGUUGACUCUUUGAAUGGGGGAGAACGUAAAUGGGGAAGAAUAUGGGGUACUUAGAUUAUAUAUGAUUGUAACUUUAUAGGGGCAAAAGGGACAUUUUGUAAUUUAUUUUAUUUAUGUAAUUUUAGGGGGUGUGACAACUGAGACAUAGUGAUGUCUCCUCCUGCCAAGUGUGACUUUGUCCCUAAUACUCUUUAGAGGGGAGUGACUGGUUGGCCUUAAGUGAGCAACUGGCCUAGCUAGUCACUUUGCUUGCCAAGUCCCGUCUUGUACUCCUUAUAGGUUCCCCCCUGCCUACAAUGGAUUUGUUGUAUUCAUGCUAUAUGAAUGAAUGAAAUAGCCAUUUUCAUGACAUGCUUGUGCCUUUGUGUUUAUUGUGCCUUUCAUGCUUAUGAUGCUAACUAUGUGAAACCUCGCUUGUAUGAAAUGCUUGUGAUGCCUCCUUAAUUGGCCUUACUUGGCUCGAUGCUAACCAUGUCCUUGAUUUUUUACAAAUUGUUGUAAGAUUCUUAUUGGCUGACUUGCCUUGAAGAGUUCAAGCCAAGUGCAACACAGUCCCAAUUGAGUGCUUUAGCUGGGCCCGUGAAAGUUGGUAUCAGAGCUGUAAUUGAUCCGUGAGUGGAAUUAAGGAUGACGAACUUGGCUGAUCACAUCGAUGCCCUUGAGAGAAGGGUUGGCAAUUUUUUUUUUCUUUAAUUGAUAAUUGCCCUACAUAUGAGGCGUUGACAAAGGAGCUUGAAGUUGCCCGCCUUUCUCUGGAACAACAAAAUAAGCUCGUUGAGGUGCUAGAAGGCAAAGUCAAACAACUUAUGGAUGUAGUAGCCAAAUUGUUUGGGGGUGAGGAUGAGCCAAUAAAGCUUGAGGCCAUCCAAAAUUCCUUGCCAACGAAUAUUACCCAAUUAGGGGAUAUGGAGAGCCGAGUUCUCACAUUAGAGGCAAAGGCCUCUCAAGUGGCGGAUUGUGCAGAAAGCUUGAAAGCCUUCACCAUUGGUGGGUAAUGUGAAUGACAUGAAAGAGGACGUCACAGAAAUAGUGAAAACACUUCGAGGCGAAAUACAAGAUCUGCAGAGAAAGAUGAACUUGCUAGUGAAAGCUGCGAGCAACCCAAAUGGGGGAGUUUUCGAGAUGGGCAAGGCUAAAAUUCCAGAGCCCAAAGCUUUUGGAGGUGCUCGCGGUGCAAGGGAGGUAGAUAAUUUCAUUUUUGACAUGAAAUUAUAUUUUGAUGCCACCAAAAAUGAUUCUGAUGCAGGUAGAUUGAAGAUUGCACCGAUGUAUCUGGCCAAUGAUGCCAAGCUGUGGUGGAGAACAAAGGUGAAAGAAUCUAUAUCAGGCCAGUGCUCCAUUGGUACUUGGAACAAUUUCAAGAAGGAGCUAAAGGCCCAAUUCAUCCCUGAAAAUAUGGCUUAUAAUGCACGAUGUAAGCUGAUCGAGUUACAGCACAGGGGCUCCAUCCAAGAGUGUGUAAGAAACUUUUCGAUGCUCAUGCUCAACAUCAAGGACAUGUCCGAGACUGAUAGACUGUUCCACUUCCAAAAAGAUUUAAAACCAUGGGCCAGGAAUGAACUAGUAAGAAGGGGAGUAAAAGACCUCAGUGCCGCCUUAGCCGCAGCUGAAAGUCUUGAUGACUACUCUAGUAGUGCACCAAAGAGAAAAUUUAACUCCACUCCGACUGCUGACAAUCGCCCUAACAAAUGUGGUCGAAAUUUGAGUGGGGGAGCUGACCGGGGCAAUACCACUUUCGGAGGAGUGGAGAGGAAGACAUGGAACUCGGGAUCGAAAACAAACAAGUCGACGGACCAAGGUAGGGAACAAAGCAGUACUAAACAGCAGGGUAAUCGACCACAAGGGUCAACGUAUGCAGCCACUCGUAAGCCGAGACCCCUGAAAUGUUUCCUUUGCGAUGGACCACAUCGAGCUACGGAAUGUCCAACAAAAGCA